RNAcentral lists this ribosomal RNA (1305 nucleotides) under Antennurella sp. ARP-2015. RNAcentral's name for it is "SSU rRNA". It matches the Rfam family "Eukaryotic small subunit ribosomal RNA", at positions 30 to 1315 of the family's 1831-position model. Lineage: Eukaryota; Metazoa; Arthropoda; Arachnida; Mesostigmata; Klinckowstroemiidae. The record is from RNAcentral.
GCUUGUCUCAAAGAUUAAGCCAUGCAUGUCUAAGUACAAGCCUGAAAAACGGUGAAACCGCGAAUGGCUCAGUAAAUCAGUCAUGGUUCCUUGGAAUAUGAUCCGAUGUGGAUAACUGUGGUAAUUCUAGAGCUAAUACAUGACUAUACGCCUCGGCUGAAAAGUCCACGCGUGCAUUUAUUAGACAACCAGCGAUGCCCCUCGUGGGAAUCACAUCGCCUUACCAUGUGGUGAACUCUGUAUGAACUUACCCAGCUUAUCGCUCAGGUCAUUGGAACCGGCGAAGUUCUUUCAAGUGUCUGCUCUAUCAACUGUCGAUGGCAGGUUAUACGCCUACCAUGGUUGUGACGGGUAACGGAGAAUCAGGGUUCGAUUCCGGAGAGGGAGCCUGAGAAACGGCUACCACAUCCAAGGAAGGCAGCAGGCGCGCAAAUUACCCAAUCCCGGCACGGGGAGGUAGUGACGAAAAAUAACGAUGCGGGGCUCCAACGAGUCUCCGUGAUCGGAAUGAGUACGCUCUAAAGCCUCUAACGAGGACCAAUUGGAGGGCAAGUCUGGUGCCAGCAGCCGCGGUAAUUCCAGCUCCAAUAGCGUAUAUUAAAGCUGUUGCGGUUAAAAAGCUCGUAGUUGAAACCCAGCGGACUUCGUAGAGUGGGAGCGUUUGUCUGCUCCGUGUCUACGGGUUGCGCAACGAAGGUAGCUGUCCCUCGUCCUCUUCACUGAGCGGCUUGGGGUGGCUAUCAUAUAUCACUUUGAUUAAAUUAGAGUGCUCAAAGCAGGCCUCGUGCCCCCAUAGCAGUGCACGGAAUGAUGGAAGACGUUGCUGUUCCGUUGUCUGGUUUUUGGAUACGGCAAGAUGAUCGAGAGGAACAACCCGGAGGUGAAGGUAUUGCAGCGAGAGAGGUGAAAUUCUUGGACCGUUGCAAGACCAACUACAGCGAAAGCAUUCGCCGAGAGUGUUUUCAUUGAUCAAGAACGAAAGUUAGAGGUUCGAAGGCGAUCAGAUACCGCCCUAGUUCUAACCAUAAACGAUGCCUACUUGCAAUCCGCCUCGGUUCUCUAAAUGACCGGGCGGGCAGCUCCGGGAAACCAAAGUGGGGUUCCGGGGGAAGUAUGGUUGCAAAGCUGAAACUUAAAGGAAUUGACGGAAGGGCUACCACCAGAAGUGGAGCCUGCGGCUUAAUUUGACUCAACACGGGAAAACUCACCCGGCCCGGACACUGGAAGGAUUGACAGAUUGAGAGCUCUUUCUUGAUUCGGUGGAUGGUGGUGCAUGGCCGUUCUUAGUUGGUGGAGCGAUCUGUC